Long non-coding RNA from Oryctolagus cuniculus (rabbit), 5000 nucleotides. RefSeq lists it as uncharacterized. The record is from RefSeq and is a predicted model, not a curated record. Lineage: Eukaryota; Metazoa; Chordata; Mammalia; Lagomorpha; Leporidae.
AUCCGCCUCGGCUCUCGCUCCUCAGGUCCAAGGCUGCGGCAGCCUGGGGCUCCAACUGUGCGUCCGCCUUGGGCCACAGCCUCCCCUCCCAGGCCCGGGGCUCCCAGCCGUGACCCUCGGGGCCGCGGGGAGGGAGUCCCAGAGGGGACUCGGGACCCGGCGCGCGCGGAGGGAGAGGCUUUGCAGCCGAGUGGAGCGCACGAGGAGGUGAGCGGUGGGGGUCCCUGCACUGACAGGGUCCGGCCCGGAGCCCGCACAAUCCCGCAUCGCCGCACUCACCUCAGAGUCCAGCCGCUGGUGUCAAAGCUGUUGUGCCCAGAGCAGCUGCAACAUGAAUAGAGCUUUCAAAGAAAUUUUUAACAAGUGGUUUCAAGACCCUGAAGCAUUUCUUCAAAGAAUUGGAACACAAGGUGAAACAUGGCUUUACCAGUACAAUAUUGAAGAUAAAGCACAGCACCAGUGUCUGUACCAGCACCUGACAGUGUCACCUAUGUCUUUUGAGGGAUAAUAUCUGUUCUUCUCCACCUAGAGAAUUCUGCUCUCUGCCAUGGCCUGGGAUAGCAGUAGAAGGCAGCCCAAAUCCCUGGGCCCCUGCACCCACGUGGGAGACCCGGAAGAAGCUCCUGGCUCUGGCUUUGGAUCAGCACAGCUCUGGCCGUUGUGGCCAUCUGGGGAGUAAGCCAAUGGAUGGAAGACCUCUCUCUCUAUCUCUUCCUCUCUCUGCAACUCUUUCAAAUAAAUAAAAUAAAUCUUUAAAAAAAUAUUAUCUAACAAUAUACUAUAUAACUUUGGAAUAUAUUUAAAAUAUCUCCAGUUCUUAUUAAUAUGAUCUUUACAUUUUUUAAGUAUAAUAAAUAUUUCAAAGGUUUACUGUAAAAAAUAUAUAGAAUUUUUAGUUUCCCUUUGACCAUACUAUAAGGUAAUCACUGAUAGCAGUGUGGUAUGUACCCCUGCAGAUUGCUUUCUAUGUAUUUUCAAAUAAAAAGGGAGUAUUUAGAACCAAGUGGAAGGGCCGCCGCUGUGGCGCAGUGGGUUAAUGCCCUGGUCUGAAGCGCCAGCAUCCUAUAUGGGCGCCGGUUUGAGACCCGGCUGCUCCACUUCCUGUCCAGCUCUCUGCUAUGGCCGGGGAAAGCAGUGGAAGAUGGCUCAAGUCCUUGGGCCCCUGCACCCGCGUGGGAGAUCCGGAAGAAGCUCCUGGCUCCUGGCUUCAGAUUGGUGCAGCUCCGGCCUUUGCAGCCAUUUGGGGAGUGAACCAUCGGAUGGAAGACCUCUCUCUCUCUCUCUCUGCCUCUCCUCUCUCUCUGUAACUCUUUCCUACUGACAAUAAUUGCAAAAGCUUAAAAAUCAAUUCUUUAACUUUAUAGGUCAAAUCCUAUUAUUAAGAAGUUUGUCAAUAAAUAUGUUUCCAGGGGUGGGUGUCUGGCAAAGUGGCCAGAGAUACUUGCAUCUCAUAUUACAGUGCCUGGGUUAAAGUCCUAGUUCCGCUUCCAGUUCCAGCUUUUUGCUGGUGCACUCCCUGGAAGCAGCAGGUUGAUGGCUCACAAACUUGGGUCCCUGCCAUCCAUAGGACAUGCAUGUUGUGCCAUCAUAUAUCACGUUAGUCGCUGUUCUUCCAAAUACACUCAAAAGCAAAACAGAUAGUUAUAUAACACUUCAAACUGGUUUUUUAUUAUUUAUUUGAAAAUCAUAGUAACAUCCUUCAACUAAGCCAUUUUCCUUUGGCUUUUUACUACUUUAUAUCUUUCUUGUUAAAAUUAUUAUUACAUGUUUCUUCAGAAAUCCAGGCUGAGUUCUGGACUCUUAACUUCAGCCUGGCCCAACUCCAGCUCUCUGCAGCAUUUGGGGAGUGAACCAUCAAGAUCUCUCUGUGUGUCUCUCUGACUUUUAAAGAAAUAUAUAAAAAUAUAUUUCCAAGGGGCAGUUCUUUUGCCAGAGGUUAAAAUGCCAGUUGGGAUACCUGCACCCUCUUUUAAAGUGCCUAGGUUCACAUCCCAGUUCUACUUCUGAUUCCAGCUUCCCAUUAAUGCACAUCUUGGGAGACUGCAAACAGUAACUCAAGAACUUGGGUCCCAGGUAUCCUCAUGGGAAACAUGAACUGACUUCCAGGCUGCCAUCUGGCCUAGCCCUAGCUGUUGUGGGCAUCUGGGGAGAGAACCAAUGGAAGGAAGAUGUCUGUCUCUCUUUUUCAAAUAAAUAAGCAAAAAUUUAAAAAUAUAUAUUUCCAAUAAAUUACCAUCAAAAGUAAUGCAAUUCUAGUAAAAGCAAAUUGCUGGGGCUGGUGCUGUGGGGUAGUAGGAUAAGCCUCUGCCUCUGGUGUCAGUAUCCCAACAGGUGCUGGUUCAUGUCCCGGUUGCUCCUCUUCUGAUCCAGCUCCCUGCUAAUGUCCUGCGAAAGCAGUAGAAGAUGGCCCAAGUGCUUGGGUCCCUGUACCCAUGUGGAAGACCAGGAAGAAGCUCCUGGCUCCUAGCUUAGGAUUGGCCCAGCUGUUGUGGACAUUUAGGGAGUGACAGUGGAUAGAAGACCUCUCUCUGUCUCUCUCUCUGUCUGUAACUCUGCCUUUCAAAUAAAUCUUAAAAAAAAAAAAAAAAAGAAAAAGAAAAUUGCCUAAACCAUUUAUAAAUAUUGUACCAAACUCAUUCUGCCAAGCAUUCAUGCACUUUUUAGGACAUGCAUAUUGUGCCAUCAUAUAUCAUGUUAAUCAUUGUUCUUCCAAAUACUCCCAAAAGCAAAAUAGUUACAUAACACUUCAAACUGGCUUUUUAUUAUUUAUUUGAAAAUCAUAGUAACAUCCUUCAACUAAGCCAUUUUCCUUUGGCUUUUUACUACUUUAUAUCUUUCUUGUUAAAAUUAUUAUUACAUGUUUCUUCAGAAUAAAUAAAAUAUAACAAAAUUCACUGUCUUAGUUCAGAGUUAGUGGUAAAGGACACAAACCAAACACAAUCUUGAGAAAAGGUGUUUAAUAUACAUGGUUACUCCACAAUUACCUCAACGAAUCUUGAAUUUUUCCUUAUUUAAAUAUAGGCAAAUUAGCAGGAUAGGGUUUACCUGGUUCCAAAGGAAUCUGACAGCCUCUUCUUGUACAAUUUUUUUAAUAUGUUCUUCAUCUCUUUCUUUUCUUAAUCUGCAAUAGUUCAAAAUAUAUUAUUGACACAAGGAAGGGUACUUUGACUCACACUUCCUAUUAAAACUACUAAAUGUAGGCACUGGAAAAAGAUUCGUAAUCUAAUAAUAGUCCUUUCUACUUUUAGACUAUCUAAACUAAAAUCUGAGUUUUAAAUAAUGACUCAAAGUAGAAGCCAAACAAGAUUUAACUGAAAUUCAGAUACUACUCCUACAAAGCAUUAUCAGUGACAGAAAUAAAAUAAAAUAUUAAAAUACUUUCAAUUUCCUGGCCAAACACAUGGAAGGGGAAGGAAGUACAGAAAUAAGUGGUUAUUCAAAGCCUUCAAAGCAGUUAAGGAUUAAACUUGAGUUAAACACUCAGGAUCACAGCUUGAAACACCCUUCUAUGAGAAUGGCUGGACUAAUCCCAGUGAACCUCACUUUCUCUUCUGUUACAGACCUUGAACACUCCCUGCUAGCUACAGAAUUCCUCAUCCAUCUUCUUUCCACAUUCAUUCAAAUCUUAGCUCCAGGCUCACUGUCAUCAUCUCCAUUCCUAGGCCUGUGACAAACAUAAGCCUCUUUUUUAAGAUUUAUUUACUUAUUUCAAAGGCAGAGUUACAAACAGAAAGAGAGAGAGAGAGACAAGAGAAGGGAGGGAGACCUUCCAUUCACUGGUUCACUCCCCAAAUGGCCACAGUGGCCAGGGCUGGACCAGGCCAAAGCUAGGAACACAGACUCUUCUCUUCUUUCACCUGCAAAUAUUAAUGUAUAUCACUAGUUGCAACAACAACGAAAUCCUAAUUUUUCUGGGUUGGUAGUCAGUAAAACAUAUGAAUCAUGGAAUUAAGGGAUAAUUCCUACUACAGUCCCAGAAUUUUAACCCCGUUUUGAACCUUGGCUAUUUUCUUUCAUGCUAUGUCACCUACUAAGUUUUAGGUAGACUUCCUCAUGUUUCCAUUUUAAUGCCUACUCUGUUUCCUACACUGGCUGUAUAUGUGUGUAUAAUUACACCUGCCUGUAAAGCUCAGUCACUCAACAUUCAUUGCACCCCUGCAUCUAUGUACCAGUUGCUGUGCCGAAAAUGGUGACGCAAAGUCUUUGCAUUCAAGACACUUGCAGGGUGCCAGUACAGUGGCACAGCAGGUUAAGCCACUGCGUGCAAUGCUGGCAUCCAUAUGGGUACUGGUUUAACUCCCAGCUGCUCCACUUCCAAUCCAGCUCCCUGUUAAGGCACCUGCCUGUGAAAGCAAUAAAUGAUGGCCCAAGUACCUGGGUACCUGUACCACGUACCCACAUGGGAAACUGGGAUAGAGUUUCAGCCUGGAUUCAGCCUGGGUUCAGCCUGGCUUAGCCUUGGCUGUUGUGGCUAUUUGGAAGGUGAGCCAGCAGAUGCAAAAUAACUCUCUCUCUCCCUCCCUCUCUCACUCCUUCUCUCUCUAACUCUGCCUUUAAAACAAAUAAAUGACUCUUUUAAAAAAAAUAUGCUUUCAGUGUAUUGUAAAAAACAAACAAGUAGAGGCCAGCGUUGUAGUGUAGCAGCAAAGCUGCCACCUGCAGUGCCGGAAUCCCAUAUGGGUGCUGGUUUGAGUCCCGACUGCUCCACCUUCAAUCCAGCUCCCUGCUAAAGUGCCUGGGAAAGCAGCUGAAGAUAGCCAAAAUCCUUGGGCCCCUGUAACCAGGCGAGAGACCAGGAAGAAGCUCCAGGCUCCUGGUUUCAGAUCUGCCUAGCUCCAGCCAGCACAGCCAUAUGGGGAGUAAACCAGUGGAUGGAAGACCUCUCUCUCUGCCCUUGCCAACCUGUAACUCUGCCUUUCAAAUAAAUAAACCUUUGUAAAAAUUUAGGAAAAAAAAGAUGGGGCAUAUACUUCCUAGCCAAAAAAAAAAAAAAAACUAAA